GACGAACGCUGGCGGCGUGCUUAAUACAUGCCAGUCGAACGGAAAGGCCCUGCUUUUGUGGGGUGCUCGAGUGGCGAACGGGUGAGUAACACGUGAGUAACCUGCCCUUGACUUUGGGAUAACUUCAGGAAACUGGGGCUAAUACCGGAUAGGAGCUCCUGCUGCAUGGUGGGGGUUGGAAAGUUUCGGCGGUUGGGGAUGGACUCGCGGCUUAUCAGCUUGUUGGUGGGGUAGUGGCUUACCAAGGCUUUGACGGGUAGCCGGCCUGAGAGGGUGACCGGCCACAUUGGGACUGAGAUACGGCCCAGACUCCUACGGGAGGCAGCAGUGGGGAAUAUUGCACAAUGGGCGGAAGCCUGAUGCAGCAACGCCGCGUGCGGGAUGACGGCCUUCGGGUUGUAAACCGCUUUCGCCUGUGGCGAAGCGUGAGUGACGGUAAUGGGUAAAGAAGCACCGGCUAACUACGUG
Molecule: ribosomal RNA, 468 nt
Filed under: uncultured bacterium
Lineage: Bacteria
Description: partial 16S ribosomal RNA
Rfam family: Bacterial small subunit ribosomal RNA
Source: RNAcentral